GAGCCAUUAAUAAUUUUUUCGUAGAGUAGCCAAGGCUUAAAGCAACUCUUUCAAAAAUGAUUGUGACUUUUAUUUGAAGCUGGGAAUGAGGGGAAGAGACUGGAGGCAGAGGGCUGAUGGAUCCCUGUGGAAUGACAGUUGUCAUUGCAGGCAGGUAAAUUCGCCAAUGCUAAAAGAGGACUCACUUGUGGGGAAAUUGUGAUUUUGUGUUUCUUGCGUAUGACAAGAAAAUGUUGACCACUCCAGACCUCAAGUUUAGGUCUAGAACAGAGGGCUUCUGACCUCAGGCUAACUAGAGUUUUAAGAAUAACACCUCGUGACGUCCCCUCCUUAGCCUGACUCCAGGGUUUCCUGGACUCUGGG
This 363-nucleotide long non-coding RNA is filed under the name Equus caballus (horse). RNAcentral describes it as "lncRNA (ENSECAG00000038353.2)". The record is from RNAcentral. Lineage: Eukaryota; Metazoa; Chordata; Mammalia; Perissodactyla; Equidae.